Molecule: long non-coding RNA, 816 nt
Filed under: Homo sapiens (human)
Lineage: Eukaryota; Metazoa; Chordata; Mammalia; Primates; Hominidae
Description: TSPAN16 antisense RNA 1
Source: RNAcentral
CGGCUCUUCUCCUUCCUGCCACCUUGUGAAGAAGGUAUCUGGCUUCCCCUUUGCCUUCUGUUAUAAUUGUAAAUUUCCUGAGGCCUCCCCAGCCAUGUUGAACUGGAGCUGACUGUGGAGGAAGGGCUGCAACAAACCAGGGGCCUGGAUUGUGACAUACUUACAGCCACGAAGCCAUUGAGUAAAGAUAACAGUUUCUUCAAGGAAGAAUACGGAGUGUGGAUUUCAGCCAUGCUGAACAGACUGGGGCACCCUGAACAUUUAAGUUAACAUCUUCCUGAACCUCUGGGCUACUGUUUCCCAAGAUGAUAGGGAUCUGAGGAAGGGGCGCCAAUGCUGACUUGCUCUGCCCCUCUGUGUCCUGGCUGCCUGAUGGUUGUCCAAGGCGGCCCAGCAGCUGCCCCCUGCCCUGGUCAUAAGCCUUUUAUCACAUCACAAUUGGGUUCUGGAGCAAGGCUCAUGGUCCAGGGAAAUCAGGUGCCCCAAACUGCCCCCUGUUGGCUCCUCAUCCUUCAAACAGGUCACAGCAGGGAAAGAGAACAGGCAUGGUAUGCUACCCUGGUACCCUCCAGAUGCCACCAGGACCCUGUGGGCAUAGUGCCCAGAGCUAACCACUUGCACAGUUGACAUCUCCUAGUAGACUGGGGGAUCCAAGCGGGGGAGGGGGGAACUUGGGCUGUCCUAUUAACAGCUGUGACCCCUGCCAGGCGCAGUGGCUCACACCUGUAGUCAAAGCAUGUUGGGAGGCGGAGACGGGCGAAUCACCUGAGGUCAGGAGUUUGAGACCUACUAACAAUACAAACAAUACAAAAAUUA